CAGGUAUGUGGUUGAUUUAAGUUGUAUAUACACAUUACGAAAUCCAUACAACAAACAGUAUCGGUAUAGUAUAGUAAAUAUCAUUUUUUUCCCAAAUACUUUAUAGCCAGAGGCGUAUUUUCGACGCUAUAUAGUAUUGUUCUUUAUUUAAGUGCUCUUUCAUAUUAAUACAAUUUUUUACAACAUAUAAGUGUUUCGAUUUGCACACUUGUGCUCUAAAAUCUAAAUCACACCAUUUUAGUUUCUAUUAACUUU
Non-coding RNA from Cinara cedri, 255 nucleotides. Lineage: Eukaryota; Metazoa; Arthropoda; Insecta; Hemiptera; Aphididae. The record is from the annotation of a GenBank genome assembly.